RNAcentral lists this ribosomal RNA (460 nucleotides) under uncultured bacterium. RNAcentral describes it as "partial 16S ribosomal RNA". It matches the Rfam family "Bacterial small subunit ribosomal RNA", at positions 338 to 795 of the family's 1533-position model. The record is from RNAcentral.
CCUACGGGUGGCAGCAGUGAGGAAUAUUGGUCAAUGGGCGCGAGCCUGAACCAGCCAAGUCGCGUGAGGGAUGACGGCCCUACGGGUUGUAAACCUCUUUUGCCGGGGAGCAACGGGCGCCACGUGUGGCGCCACUGAGAGUACCCGGAGAAAAAGCAUCGGCUAACUCCGUGCCAGCAGCCGCGGUAAUACGGAGGAUGCGAGCGUUAUCCGGAUUCAUUGGGUUUAAAGGGUGCGCAGGCGGGCCUUUAAGCCGGCGGUGAAAUCGCGGGGCUCAACCCCGCCGAGCCGUCGGAACUGGGGGCCUUGAGUGCGGCGGAGGCAUGCGGAAUGCGCGGUGUAGCGGUGAAAUGCAUAGAUAUCGCGCAGAACCCCGAUUGCGAAGGCAGCGUGCCGUGCCGCCACUGACGCUGAGGCACGAAAGCGCGGGGAUCGAACAGGAUUAGAUACCCGGGUAGUC